GACGAACGCUGGCGGCGUGCUUAACACAUGCAAGUCGAACGGAAAGGCCCUGCUUUUGUGGGGUGCUCGAGUGGCGAACGGGUGAGUAACACGUGAGUAACCUGCCCUUGUCUUUGGGAUAACUUCAGGAAACUGGGGCUAAUACCGGAUAGGAGCUCCUGCUGCAUGGUGGGGGGUGGAAAGUUUCGGCGGUUGGGGAUGGACUCGCGGCUUAUCAGCUUGUUGGUGGGGUAGUGGCUUACCAAGGGUUUGACGGGUAGCCGGCCUGAGAGGGUGACCGGGCACCUUGGGACUGAGAUACGGACCAGACUCCUACGGGAGGCAGCAGUGGGGAAUAUGACACAGUGGGCGGAAGCCUGAUGCGACAGCGCCGCGUGCGGGAUGACGGCCUUCGGGUUGUAAACCGCUUUCGCCUGUGACGAAGCGUGAGUGACGGUAAUGAGUAAAGAAGCACCGGCUAACUACGUG
Molecule: ribosomal RNA, 468 nt
Filed under: uncultured bacterium
Lineage: Bacteria
Description: partial 16S ribosomal RNA
Rfam family: Bacterial small subunit ribosomal RNA
Source: RNAcentral